AGAGUUUGAUCAUGGCUCAGGAUGAACGCUGGCGGCGUGCCUAACACAUGCAAGUCGAGCGAUUCACUUCGGUGAAGAGCGGCGGACGGGUGAGUAACGCGUGGGUAACCUGCCUCAUACACAUGGAUAACAUACCGAAAGGUAUGCUAAUACAAGAUGAUAUAAGAGAUUCGCAUGGAUUUCUUAUCAAAGCUCCGGCGGUAUGAGAUGGACCCGCGUCUGAUUAGCUAGUUGGUAAGGUAACGGCUUACCAAGGCGACGAUCAGUAGCCGACCUGAGAGGGUGAUCGGCCACAUUGGAACUGAGACACGGUCCAAACUCCUACGGGAGGCAGCAGUGGGGAAUAUUGCACAAUGGGCGAAAGCCUGAUGCAGCAACGCCGCGUGAGCGAUGAAGGCCUUCGGGUCGUAAAGCUCUGUCCUCAAGGAAGAUAAUGACGGUACUUGAGGAGGAAGCCCCGGCUAACUACGUGCCAGCAGCCGCGGUAAUACGUAGGGGGCUAGCGUUAUCCGGAUUUACUGGGCGUAAAGGGUGCGUAGGUGGUUUCUUAAGUCAGGAGUGAAAGGCUACGGCUCAACCGUAGUAAGCUCUUGAAACUGGGAAACUUGAGUGCAGGAGAGGAAAGUGGAAUUCCUAGUGUAGCGGUGAAAUGCGUAGAUAUUAGGAGGAACACCAGUAGCGAAGGCGGCUUUCUGGACUGUAACUGACACUGAGGCACGAAAGCGUGGGGAGCAAACAGGAUUAGAUACCCUGGUAGUCCACGCCGUAAACGAUGAGUACUAGGUGUCGGGGGUUACCCCCCUCGGUGCCGCAGCUAACGCAUUAAGUACUCCGCCUGGGGAGUACGCUCGCAAGAGUGAAACUCAAAGGAAUUGACGG
RNAcentral lists this ribosomal RNA (879 nucleotides) under uncultured bacterium. RNAcentral describes it as "bacterial SSU rRNA". It matches the Rfam family "Bacterial small subunit ribosomal RNA", at positions 8 to 916 of the family's 1533-position model. The record is from RNAcentral.